GCUGGGUGCAGUGGUGAAUACCUGUAAUCCCAGUGGUUCAGGAGGCUGAGGCAGGAGAAUCGUGAGUUCAAAGCAAGCCUCAGAAAUUUAGCAAGGCCCUAAAACAACUUGGCGGGAUCCUGUUUCAA
This 128-nucleotide small RNA is filed under the name Marmota monax (woodchuck). Lineage: Eukaryota; Metazoa; Chordata; Mammalia; Rodentia; Sciuridae. The record is from RNAcentral.